CUUCCCCCCUUAGCCAACAGCAUUCAUCAGACAAAAACCCAAAAAAAAAAAAGAUUUAAUCUUUAGAACCCAGACAGAUUAAGACGAUCAUGGCCACCAGAAAAUCGUCCAUGUCAAUGAUGCUGGUGUUGACCAUGGUGAUAAUCAUGGCGUACACCGUUGACCAAACUGAAGCAAAUGGACGAGCGGAAUGCAUUCGCAUUUGCAUGCCCAGGUGCCUCGAAGUCGAACACGCAACUCCGAAGCAGUGUGUGCGGGCCUGCCGCGAAGUCUGCCGGCAAAUCUCCGGCAAGUCUGGAUCGUCUUGGAGUCAUUGGUGAUCUUGAUCGACAUACGCUGCUGUGGUUUUUAAUAUAAUAUUUAACAAUCUUUCUUUUUCUUUUUUUUUUUCUUUCUAAUUUGGUUUUAACAUCACGUAUGCUGUUGCUGCUGUGUAACAUUAUCUAAUAUAUCAUUGAUUAUAUAUAUAUAUAAUGUAUAUAUAUUUGUAUAUCUAUAAAAAUCAAUGAGAAAUGACUGGGGCAUAUAUAUAUAUAUAUGUAUGUAUAUAGCCUUCAUGGUCAAGCCCUUCGGGACCAAAACCACGAAAUUAUCAAUGAGAAAUAUUAUUAAUAUUAUACAUAAGUGUAUAUAUAGUUUUUCAAAUCGUC
Molecule: long non-coding RNA, 650 nt
Filed under: Carica papaya (papaya)
Lineage: Eukaryota; Viridiplantae; Streptophyta; Magnoliopsida; Brassicales; Caricaceae
Description: long non-coding RNA (CPAP_LNC008651)
Source: RNAcentral